CUGUUGUUUGCACUAACAGUUUAAUUGCUAUGAAUGCUGUCACUCAACUUACACUUGUGCCCCACUAACUGGGGAAUUCGACCUUGAUGAGAGAAUGUUCUGCAUUUCAAGAGUUAAGAAUUGCUGGUGGAGCUUUCAUGCAUGUAUCAGGAGGGUAUUUCAGGGAACUGUUUAUGACAGAGAUCAAGCAUGUAUUCAUACCAUCUCUAGCUAAAAGGAGAAGAAAAUAAAAAUAAAAAUCUUACCAGUCACAACCACAAUGUUGGAAUUUGAAUCCAUGCUCCAAAAGGUGAAAUCUCAUCGACUUGCAGUUCCAAACAGUAGUAUCAGCAUUCAUGCAUCUGUGGAAAACUUCCUCAUCUGGGGCAUCUAUUUUUUGAUUCAAACCGUUCUGAAGCAUGCAGAUUUCUAUUGGAUGAAGAAAGUGUUUUCAUAAAGCUGAGAUGGGUUGGGAUUCACACCAGAGGAAUGAUUUCUGUCCCAUGGAACUUUCAAAACAAAUUGUUACACCUGCAUAUUAAAGGCAGCAGGUUACCUCAAGAACAGAAAAGGCUGCAAGAAACUUUUUGCAAAAUGUCCAGCAAUAAAAUAUCCAGCAAUACUUUGCAUCAGAAAACUGUAUAU
Long non-coding RNA from Centrocercus urophasianus (Greater sage-grouse), 624 nucleotides. RefSeq lists it as uncharacterized. The transcript is spliced from 3 exons. The record is from RefSeq and is a predicted model, not a curated record. NCBI's taxonomy places the organism in Eukaryota, Metazoa, Chordata, Aves, Galliformes, Phasianidae.